CAAUAUAUAAUGAACUGAUUAGUUGAAGAAGAAGAAAGAAAUAGGGAAAGGAGUAGCGCGAAAUAACACCGCGCAGAAAACGUCUCCAAUGUUCUCUUUCAGUCUGACCCCUACAGUCCACCACUCGCAUCUCCUCCUCCAUAGAAGUUCCGGCAGAUCUCCGCCUAGAAUUCUGAUUAGUCCCUUCACUGUUCGAUCGUCUUCCAGUCUUCAGGAGGUCGAGAAGUUUUCAGAAUCAUCGGCUGACCGCAAAGACCUCAGUUCGGAGCUCUACGCUUCGGUUCCGCUGCCUCCUAUUAAGACUGCGAAGAGAGUGGUUCUGGUAAGGCAUGGACAGAGCACGUGGAAUGCUGAAGGUAGAAUUCAAGGAAGCUCCAAUUUCUCUGUUCUCACUAAGAAAGGGGAAGCUCAGGCAGAGACCUCUCGCCAAAUGCUCUUUGACGAUGCAUUUGAUGUCUGCUUCAGCAGCCCCCUAGUGCGAUCAAAGAGGACUGCAGAAAUUAUAUGGGGUGAUCGUGAGGAGGUGAUACUUACAGAUUCAGAACUAAGGGAAAUUGAUUUAUAUUCAUUUCAAGGUCUACUCAAGCACGAAGGGAAGGAAAAAUUUGGUGCCGCUUAUCGUCAAUGGCAGGUAGAUGCUGCAAAUUUUAACAUUGAUGGCCACUAUCCAGUGAGGGAGUUGUGGACGCGUGCUCGAAAUUGUUGGAAUAGAAUUCUUGCUCACGAGAGCAGAUCUGUCCUAGUGGUUGCUCACAAUGCUGUCAAUCAGGCUCUUGUUGCCACAGCUAUUGGACUGGGAGCUGAGUACUUCAGGGUUUUACUUCAGAGCAACUGUGGUGUUAGCGUUCUUGAUUUUACUCCCCAACCUGAGGGUGGAUCUCCAAUUAUUUGUUUAAACCGUUUAAAUCAGACCCCGAACUCACCUGUAGCUUCCAGUAGUUCUGGAGGCAGAAAAACAACAAAAAGGAUCAUACUUGUUUGCCAUGGAGUUUCCGAGGAUAAUAGGGCCAGUUCUUCCUUCCUGGAGGAUAAGCCAAUGAACGUUCUUGGGACUAUACAGUCCCAGAAAGUUGCAGAACUCCUUCUUGAUCUAAAAGUGAGCGCUGUAAUAAGCAGUCCCAAGAAAGCUUGUGUAGAGACGGCUGUAGCAGUUUCCAGAGUACAAGAAGCUGCAGAUUGCUUGGGUGCUGAUUGUGUGCCUCGCUAUGUGGAGAUGAAACAGACGAAUAAACUUGAUGUGGACAGUAUUCCUGAUCAUUUCAAGCAGGAUAUAGGCGACACCAAUGUCUUUGAACCUGGCUGGUUAAAUAAAUUGAACGGUGGGGUGAUUACAGAAGUGUGGAAUCAGAGUGGUGAAGCCUGGAAGUCUCUGUUGAAUGAGAUGGGUGAUGAAAAGGAGCCGGAAAAGAUUAUUGUUGUGGUUGGUCAUCCUGCCAUUCUUUUAGGAUUGGUUGGGCAGUGCCUAAAUCUCACAAAAGAUUGGAUUGGAUCAUUUCAUCUGGAUGCUGGAAGCAUUAGUGUGCUUGACUUCCCUGAUGGGCCUAGUAGCAGGGGUGUUAUCCGAUGCAUAAAUUACACUGCUCAUCUGGGGAGAUGGUCAAUUCCUAUUACUAGACCUACCGUGGACGAUGAAGAGUUUUGACGGUGAUGGACAGAAAACACCUAAAGGAACUCAACUUCGAUAGAAUUCGCCCGAACAGCAUGUUGAUGUUUGAAAUUGCCAUAUGCAAGAAAACCUUGGGUUUGUUUGAGACAGAAUCUUGAGGCUAUCACAAAGAGCUGUUGAAGAUAAAGAGAGUAAACAGUCUAUAAUCAAUUGGGCUGUCUACUUGGACCACAGGUUUCUCCUACCAUUUGCAUCUAAUUGGGCUAGGUUCUUGGGUGAUCUAUCAAGCCGAGAAAUGGGAAAAGAUGGCUUUCAAGUUCAUCGAUGGGUAGAGAUUGACGUCUCUUCUCGUGCUGUGUGCGGCAGAUCCAAUCACAAAACAUGGAUCCAACGGUACACAACUAUCCUAAUGCAGCAAGUUUAAAUUA
RNA transcript from Cucurbita pepo subsp. pepo (vegetable marrow), 2034 nucleotides. It is a transcript of the gene named putative 2-carboxy-D-arabinitol-1-phosphatase, with no coding region annotated. The record is from RefSeq and is a predicted model, not a curated record. NCBI's taxonomy places the organism in Eukaryota, Viridiplantae, Streptophyta, Magnoliopsida, Cucurbitales, Cucurbitaceae.